AAUUUAAGGUCUGACCUGCCCAAUGAGUUUUUAAAUGGCCGCGGUAUUUUGACCGUGCAAAGGUAGCAUAAUCAUUAGUUUUUUAAUUGAAAGCUGGAAUGAAAGGUCGAAUGAAAAAAUAGCUGUCUCUAUUUAAAUUUUUUAGAAAUUUAUUUUUAAGUUAAAAAGCUUAAAUAUAAUUAGAAGACGAGAAGACCCUAUAGAGUUUUAUUAAUUUCUAUUAUAGGCAUUUUAGUAUUAACUUUUUUAUAAUAAGGAUUAAUUUAAUUGGGGUGAUUGAAAAAUUUAAUAAACUUUUUUUAUAUCUUUACAUUUAUUUAUGAAUAUUUGAUCCUUUUAUGAAGAUUAUAAGAUAAAAUUACCUUAGGGAUAACAGCGUAAUUUUUUUAAAGAGUUCAAAUCGAAAAAAAAGAUUGCGACCUCGAUGUUGGAUUAAAAUAAAAUUUUGGUGUAGAAGCUAAAAUAUUUAGGUCUGUUCGACCUUUAAAAUUUUACAUGAUCUGAGUUUAAACCGGUGUGAGCCAGGUUGGUUUCUAUCUCUAUUAAAUUUUAAUAUCUUAGUACGAAAGGACCAGAUAUUUAAUUAAAAAUUUUAUUUAUAGAAUAAAAUU
Molecule: ribosomal RNA, 611 nt
Filed under: Antarctobius falklandicus
Lineage: Eukaryota; Metazoa; Arthropoda; Insecta; Coleoptera; Curculionidae
Description: partial 16S ribosomal RNA
Rfam family: Bacterial large subunit ribosomal RNA
Source: RNAcentral